AUGAUUCCUCUUUUUCCUUCCGUACAUCGUCUUCUCGUUUUUCCCUCCUCCCCCACAGUGAGUCCCUGCUCUGCAGAGGUGUCUCCUCCGGAGGCAGUCUUGCGUCCUGCAGUGCUAGUUCCGCAGAGGAGGGCAACAGGAGAAACAACUAUGAUGGCUGCUUUGGUGCAGGGAUGGUUCUGUGCUGAGAUGGCAUUUGUUUCUGGCAGGAGCGGGGAGAACAUAACGCAGCUGGGUUAUUUACUUGAGCCACAACAGAAUAUUUUACUUCAUCUGCAUUAUUCAAUAAUGAAGCCAAGGCUUCCAGCAAAGGCCAGCAGAUGUCUCUUAAAAUUAUCCAGAGUCUCCUCUACAGUAUAA
This 360-nucleotide long non-coding RNA is filed under the name Pogona vitticeps (central bearded dragon). Its description in RNAcentral is "lncRNA (ENSPVIG00000006399.1)". The record is from RNAcentral. Lineage: Eukaryota; Metazoa; Chordata; Lepidosauria; Squamata; Agamidae.